UACGUAGGGUGCAAGCGUUGUCCGGAUUUAUUGGGCGUAAAGAGCUCGUAGGCGGUCUGUCGCGUCGGAUGUGAAAACCCAGGGCUCAACCCUGGGCCUGCAUUCGAUACGGGCAGACUAGAGUGUGGCAGGGGAGACUGGAAUUCCUGGUGUAGCGGUGAAAUGCGCAGAUAUCAGGAGGAACACCAAUAGCGAAGGCAGCUCGCUGGGACGUUACUGACACUAAGGCGCGAAAGCGUGGGGAGCGAACAGG
This 253-nucleotide ribosomal RNA is filed under the name uncultured bacterium. Its description in RNAcentral is "partial 16S ribosomal RNA". It matches the Rfam family "Bacterial small subunit ribosomal RNA", at positions 524 to 776 of the family's 1533-position model. The record is from RNAcentral.